CUUCAAUGCGUCACUGCCCGCAGCGCCCCGCCCGGAGGGGCCCGCGCUCUCCUCCCCUCCCCCCCCCGCCCGCCCACGCACGGAAGGGCGCGAGGGGCCGCGCAUGCACGGAGCCCCGGGAGGCCGCGGCCCAGCGGCGCCGGCCCGGCCCCGGGCUGAGCGCUCCGCGCCGCCAAUCCGCCCGACAGGGACGGGGAUUUCCCCGCUCCCAGCUGGUAAAGCGCAGCCUGAUGUCCUUCAGCCGCCUGGUUCGCCCGCGCUGCUCCCGGGAGGCAGCGCGCUCAGGGUGCGCCUGGGCUGGGGGAAUGGUGAGCUUCGCUUUGGCAGCGGCAUUCCCCGAGAUCAAAGCCUCUCAGUUUGAACUGUUUGUGAAAAGCCUCCUGCGAAUGCUCCGACAGAUAAAACGCAGGCCUAAGUGGAACUGCUACGUUUUACCUCAUAAGUGAUACUUGGAGGAACGGUAGAUUGAGCCACAUGCCUGCCUGGGAUUUCUGAGACACUGAAGGAGGUAGAUGUGCAGGUCAUCGCGAUAUGAACAGGACAAGGCUAGUGCAGCAAUUCGAAGGUCAGGAGGAGUGCAGCAGUGCACGGGAGGACAGGGCUGCUCAGAAAGCACACAGAUAAUAAACGUCAAGUACCUGACUUGGUACUGCGCUGCUUACCUGGCCUGCUCCCAGCUUGAGGACUAACCUGAAUGUCUUGCUACCCCAGGACUUAAGCACACAAAAGGCGAAGCUCGAAACAUAACUAUACGCAGCCGUAUUGCCAGACCACUUGUUUGAAGUAGUGGCCAAUGCAAAUGAAAACAAGAACGAGAAGUGGUGUUAACAACACUCCCCGUUUACAUCCUGCCACCCUCAAAUAAUCUGUGCAUUAAGGCUUUUCCAAGACACAACGUAACUGGAUUCGAUGGCCAUUUCUUCUUGUUUUUGUUCUAUUCGUGCUCUUAGCUUCUAAGAUACCAAGACGUGUUUCAGAGUUUAUUUGUACACAACAUGAAAAACAUUUCAUUUUCAUUUUCAACACUGCGUAGUAAGAACAAGGGGAACCAAACUAAAUGAGUUAUUAGAAAUGGUAAUACUCUGUUUAUUUAUACCCUUUGUGGGCAUUAAUAUCUCCUAAGUCACCCUCUUUGUAAACCAGAGCUGCACUCUAAUUCUUUCUCCUUUAGAAGCAAUUUCCAUGAUCUCUUCCUCAAAAGCAACACCUAAGUCAGACCUAUCCUAGUUUCUGGAUAGCCACAGCUGUUCCUCCCUCAGCAAUUUGAAAUACCACCUCGAUCCAUCACUUUUUCUUCUUACUAAUUUGCUCUUUUAGCAGCACUUCAAUUUGACUAGGUUCUUUGAUACCAUCUCCUGCCCAUUUCUAACAGGGGAUCCUCCUUUUCAGUAGGAGUUAGUGAUUUAAUAUAGCUUGUUGUAGAUUUUUUCUCCAAAAAUACUCCUUUUGACACUCUCUACCUACUGACCCUGGAGACUUCUUGCUUCUAAUGAGUCUGAAAAAGGCUUUUUGCAAAGGCUGUGAAAACAGCAAAUUGUCCCAUCUUUUCAUGUACACAUUACAUUUACUGUAGCUUAUUUUUAUUUUUUUUUGUUUGUAUAUAUUUUAGUGGUUCGUGUUACUGUACUGUUUAACUUUGCUAAGGUUUUAAAGAAUUGAGAAGACUAAACAAACACAAAACCUCA
This is a long non-coding RNA of Columba livia (rock pigeon), 1685 nucleotides long. RefSeq lists it as uncharacterized. NCBI's taxonomy places the organism in Eukaryota, Metazoa, Chordata, Aves, Columbiformes, Columbidae. The record is from RefSeq and is a predicted model, not a curated record. The transcript has 2 exons.